Molecule: ribosomal RNA, 641 nt
Filed under: Clostridioides difficile
Lineage: Bacteria; Bacillati; Bacillota; Clostridia; Peptostreptococcales; Peptostreptococcaceae
Description: partial 23S ribosomal RNA
Rfam family: Bacterial large subunit ribosomal RNA
Source: RNAcentral
GAAACCAGGACGCCAGUUUUGGCGGAGCCAUCCUUGGGAUACCACCCUUGUAGUACUGGGACUCUAACCAUAGGCCAUGAAUCUGGUCUUGGGACACUGUCAGGUGGGCAGUUUGACUGGGGCGGUCGCCUCCCAAAAGGUAACGGAGGCGCUCAAAGGUUCUCUCAGUACGGUCGGAAAUCGUACGUAGAGUGUAAAGGCAAAAGAGAGCUUGAUUGCAAGACAUACAGGUCGAGCAAGGAUGAAAAUCGGACUUAGUGAUCCGGUGGUUCUGCGUGGAAGGGCCAUCGCUCAACGGAUAAAAGCUACCCUGGGGAUAACAGGCUUAUCUCCCCCAAGAGUCCACAUCGACGGGGAGGUUUGGCACCUCGAUGUCGGCUCAUCACAUCCUGGGGCUGUAGUAGGUCCCAAGGGUUGGGCUGUUCGCCCAUUAAAGUGGUACGCGAGCUGGGUUCAGAACGUCGUGAGACAGUUCGGUCCCUAUCCGUCGCAGGCGUAGGAAAUUUGAGAAGACCUGUCCUUAGUACGAGAGGACCGGGAUGGACGUACCUCUGGUGUACCAGUUGUUCUGCCAAGGGCAUGGCUGGGUAGCUAUGUACGGAAUGGAUAAGCGCUGAAAGCAUCUAAGCGCGAAGCCAACU